AACGAACGCUGGCGGCAUGCCUAACACAGGCAAGUCGAACGAGACCUUCGGGACUAGUUGCUCUCGGGUGCGUAGCGCGUGGGAACCUUCCCUUAUGUUUGGAAUAACUCCCCGACAGGGGUGCUAAUACCGGAUAAUGUCUUCGGACCAAAGAUUUAUCGUCUUUGGAUGUGUCCGCGUUCGAUUGGUUAGUUGUUAUCGUAAAAGCCUACCAAAGCGACGAUCCAUAGCUGGUCUGUGAGGAUGAUCAGCCACACUAGGACUGAGACCCGGCCCACACUCCUACGCAACGCGCCAGUGGGGAAUAUUGCCCAAUCGGCGCAAGCUUGCUCGAGCAAUGCAGGGUGAGUGAUGCAGGACUUAGGGUUGUGAAGCUCGUUUACCCGCGAUGAUUAUGACAGUACCGAAAGAAUAAGCUCCGGCUAACUACGUG
Molecule: ribosomal RNA, 433 nt
Filed under: uncultured bacterium
Lineage: Bacteria
Description: partial 16S ribosomal RNA
Rfam family: Bacterial small subunit ribosomal RNA
Source: RNAcentral